RNAcentral lists this ribosomal RNA (253 nucleotides) under uncultured bacterium. Its description in RNAcentral is "partial 16S ribosomal RNA". It matches the Rfam family "Bacterial small subunit ribosomal RNA", at positions 524 to 776 of the family's 1533-position model. The record is from RNAcentral.
UACGUAGGGUGCGAGCGUUAAUCGGAAUUACUGGGCGUAAAGCGUGCGCAGGCGGUGAUGUAAGACAGAUGUGAAAUCCCCGGGCUCAACCUGGGAACUGCAUUUGUGACUGCAAGGCUGGAGUGCGGCAGAGGAGACUGGAAUUCCUGGUGUAGCAGUGAAAUGCGUAGAUAUCAGGAAGAACACCCGUGGCGAAGGCGGCUCUCUGGGACGGUACUGACGCUGAGACGCGAAAGCGUGGGGAGCGAACAGG